RNAcentral lists this long non-coding RNA (1100 nucleotides) under Homo sapiens (human). RNAcentral describes it as "HSALNT0280507". The record is from RNAcentral. Lineage: Eukaryota; Metazoa; Chordata; Mammalia; Primates; Hominidae.
CAGAGGAGGACGGGCCAUGGAAGGAGUUGGGACUUUCCCCCUUUUGGCCCUUGGCACCUUCAUCAGAACUUAGCCUGGGACUCCUUUCUCCGCUGACCUGGGGCAGCCAGUCUUGCAACCAAAGCCCUCUGCUGAAACGCUCCGUGCAGCCCUGUCUACUGAGGGCUCAGGAUCUUCACCUUGCUACUUGACCAGUCCUGGGACUCCAUCCUCAGCUCACUACAGGCAACACCCUUCAAAGCAAGAUCCUUGCUUCAAUGGGACCUCAGAUUUGGACAUUCAGGGCCGAAAUGACAGUCACCUCAACCUGACAGCUCUUCCUGAGCUUCCCAAGUCACAGGAGAGGCUUUUGGUUUUGGACCAUGAGAAUGGCUUACAUAUUCAAAAGGUUGGAUUUGGGAAGCAAUGCUAAGCAGUGGAAUGGACAUCGACAUAGAGAGAUCAGCUCCACACUUAUACUCUGCCACUCAACUUCCCCAUGUGACUUGAGGAUCACUCUAACUCCAAAACAUAGCAAGCUCGCGGAACAUCAGGGUUCAUGCAAAGUAUUCCAAGGAGCCCCUUGAAGCAACAGAAUGGAUUGCUCUUCUAUGGUGGAAUGGCACCCUGGAUGAUUAAAACCGUAGCAGCAAACAAAACCUCCAUCAAGUAAGAAUUCAGAGUGUGAGAUAUCACGCACAGCCACGCGUGGAUCUUUAUAUACGUGUCAAUGUGUUUGAUUGUAUUUUUGCUUUCAAAGUAUGUAUUGAGCAUUUCUUCUAGGUCCUCAGUAACAUCUUUUUAAAAAAAAAAUAAAUGCUUAGGGAAUUGUUUUAUAUUAAACUCGCUUCCAUUGUUAUCAACUUGGAGAGUGUCCCUCAUACAUGGAGCUCUCUCACAGGAUUGACUUUUCAUAUUAGGAGUGUAAAUAAAAGUUGUUCCUUGGUUUGUGUAUUACAGAUAUUCCUGAAAACAGAGUCAAGUUAUAUUUCUAAAGUACUAGCGUCUGCUUAAAGAAAUGACAAGGUGAAGUCUUUCACAAAGUAAGCAUUCAAUGUAUGAUUUCUCUGCUAUGUAAAUCUGGUUGUUCAUACAGUUUCUAUGACAUAAUUGGCCACGAC